CCCAGCAGUAUACUUACCUGUGUACAUGGAAGACAUAAGUAAAUAUACUGCUGGAUAGAUUAUUAAUCAGUUGGAUCAAUGAUAUUGUUCCAUUGUAAGUAUCCAAACAUUUACUACUCCUUACUACUCCUAUACUUUGGGCCAAGGAGUAGCCAGGGUUGGCCAGAGAAAGCUUCUUUGUGAUAAGGUGGUUCUUCCCUGGAGCACAAUAACAAAACAGGAAAAAUCCAGGCCCCACCUCCCUCAUCCAAAGAAAUCCAAGAUUAUAUCUGUUUACUUACUUUAUGUACUUGUAAUUUCUGGUGCCAAUGGCUCUGCCACACAGGACUCUGGUAUUAGCAGAAAUCAAAAUGAAUCAGCAUGAGUGGUGCUGGCUUGGGAGUCCGCAGCACAGUGGAUGAACUUGGUCUAAGAGAUAAGUAAUGUUAAAUUUGAAACCCAAAGUUAGCCAUUGUUUAUAUUUUAACUUGUUGAUUAACGCAACAGUGAAAUGCUAGGAGAAACACUGUCUGGUGAUACGCACUUUAGACUCACUCUUUUGCCUGCAGACUGUAAACUAAGUUAGGGAGUUACACCAGCAUCCUCACUUGUUCAUCAGUUUUUUUCUUUAAGGGGAUGAGAAUAAAAUAAGACAACUAGGUUAACAGUUGCUACACCACAGAUUCACUUUUAAAGGCUUUGAUCCAUUUCACCUUUAGAGACAAUUAUUAUUUUUUAAAAAAUCAUAUAUUACUCACAUUAGUAAACUCAAUUUGUAAAGGCUUUUUAAGUGCAGAUGAUUGCCCAAGCACUUGGCAAAUAAAAGACAGGUAUGUGGGAGGAGUAUGACCUUGGGAGUCACAAGUCCUAGGUUCAAGUAUUGUGUUCACCAGCUAUUAUUAUCAGAGUCAUGUUGGAAAAAUUGUAUAACUUUUCUCAGCUUUAGUUUCCUCAGUUUAAAAUAGGCAUAAUCAAGUGACUGCCAGGGGCUGGGGAAAGAAGGGAAUGGGGAAGGAUUGCUAAUGAGUAUGGAGUUUGCUUUUGGGUGUGAUGAAAGUGUUUUGAAACUGGAUAGAGGCGGUAGUUACAAGCAUUGUGAAUGUACUAAAUGCUGCUGAAUCCUAUACUUUGAAAUGGUUAAUGACAGAUUGUUGGAAAAUGGUGGAUAGGAGGCAGGACUAACUUGCAGCUUCCACACAGAGAGAACAGCAUGUGGAGACUCACAUAGUGAAAUUUUCCUCCAAGAAGUACUGCAUGAACAUACCAAGAAAACCAAAAGAAUUCACAGAACCUUUGAAAGAGGUGGCUUGCCGCUGCAAACUCCAUGAGACGGCCGAAAAACUAUUGCUGGUGUGACAGACUGUUCACAACUGCUUGCUUCCUAAUGUUCACUGGAAAUUAAAGUCACUGAAGAUUAAGAAUUCUGAUUAAUACAUAGGAUCUGGGUUUAUUCAUCACACUGGAUGGAUCUUGAGUCCUUAUCCUUGAGGCCAUUGCAAUGAGUCAGAUGAGCAUGCUUCUUCAUGAUAGAGGACUGGAGACCACUUCUGUAGGAGAAUGUAUCCCUAUACAGGCCACCAAAUUAUUUGAAAUGCUUGUUCUUUGGUGCCGUAAAGAAAUAGCACUUGAAAAUAAAUUUAAUUUCCUCA
Non-coding RNA from Macaca mulatta (Rhesus monkey), 1628 nucleotides. NCBI's taxonomy places the organism in Eukaryota, Metazoa, Chordata, Mammalia, Primates, Cercopithecidae. The record is from RefSeq and is a predicted model, not a curated record.